ACCCGCUGAACUUAAGCAUAUCAAUAAGCGGAGGAAAAGAAACCAACAGGGAUUGCCCCAGUAACGGCGAGUGAAGCGGCAACAGCUCAAAUUUGAAAUCUGGCUCUCGGGCCCGAGUUGUAAUUUGUAGAGGAUGCUUUUGGUGAGGUGCCUUCCGAGUUCCCUGGAACGGGACGCCAUAGAGGGUGAGAGCCCCGUCUGGUUGGACGCCGAACCUCUGUAAAGCUCCUUCGACGAGUCGAGUAGUUUGGGAAUGCUGCUCUAAAUGGGAGGUAUAUGUCUUCUAAAGCUAAAUACCGGCCAGAGACCGAUAGCGCACAAGUAGAGUGAUCGAAAGAUGAAAAGAACUUUGAAAAGAGAGUUAAACAGUACGUGAAAUUGUUGAAAGGGAAGCGCUUGUGACCAGACUUGGGCUUGGUUGAUCAUCCGGGGUUCUCCCCGGUGCACUCUUCCGGCUCAGGCCAGCAUCAGUUCGCCCUGGGGGAUAAAGGCAUCGGGAACGUGGCUCUCUCCGGGGAGUGUUAUAGCCCGUUGCGUAAUACCCUGUGGCGGACUGAGGUUCGCGCAUUCGCAAGGAUGCUGGCGUAAUGGUCAUCAGUGACCCGUCUUGAAACACGGACCAAGGAGUCGUCUUCGUAUGCGAGUGUUCGGGUGUCAAACCCCUACGCGAAAUGAAAGUGAACGCAGGUGAGAGCUUCGGCGCAUCAUCGACCGAUCCUGAUGUUAUCGGAUGGAUUUGAGUAAGAGCAUACGGGGCCGGACCCGAAAGAAGUGAACUAUGCCUGUGUAGGGUGAAGCCAGAGGAAACUCUGGUGGAGGCUCGCAGCGGUUCUGACGUGCAAAUCGAUCGUCAAACAUGGGCAUGGGGGCGAAAGACUAAUCGAACCUUCUAGUAGCUGGUUUCCGCCGAAGUUUCCCUCAGGAUAGCAGUGUUGAACUCAGUUUUAUGAGGUAAAGCGAAUGAUUAGGGACUCGGGGGCGCUAUUUAGCCUUCAUCCAUUCUCAAACUUUAAAUAUGUAAGAAGCCCUUGUUGCUUAAUUGAACGUGGGCAUUCGAAUGAAUCAACACUAGUGGGCCAUUUUUGGUAAGCUCGUCUGGCG
RNAcentral lists this ribosomal RNA (1101 nucleotides) under Fusarium solani. RNAcentral describes it as "eukaryotic LSU rRNA". It matches the Rfam family "Eukaryotic large subunit ribosomal RNA", at positions 23 to 1155 of the family's 3401-position model. Lineage: Eukaryota; Fungi; Ascomycota; Sordariomycetes; Hypocreales; Nectriaceae. The record is from RNAcentral.